This 714-nucleotide long non-coding RNA is filed under the name Citrus x clementina. Its description in RNAcentral is "Citrus clementina (C. clementina) long non-coding RNA (CCLE_LNC003096)". The record is from RNAcentral. Lineage: Eukaryota; Viridiplantae; Streptophyta; Magnoliopsida; Sapindales; Rutaceae.
UUCUCUUGUGCUAAAUACUGGGUUGGACUUUCAGGAUGCAGGACCCAUGCAGGAUCAGGACAACUGGAGUGAUUGAGUUAUGUUGUUGUAUUUGGCGUUGCCAGUUGCAGGAGAAAUUCUAGAAUACAUUUGUUGUAUUACAACCAAUUAAUGCAUGCAUGACAUGUGUAAUUGAGUUUAAUACAACCACCACUUGCAUGAUAGUUAACAAAAUAAAUGUACACAUGUCAUGAUAUUAUUUGUUGUUUUAUGACUGAUAUGGUACAACAAAUGUAUUCUAGAAUUUCUCUAGUUGCAUAUAUCAAGCUUGUAUGGUUGACUUUCACACCUUCAACUUUUACACGCACAAUAACUCAAGUAUUCAAGUUACUGCAGUUGUGAAUUAUAAUUACUUGCUUGUUUGGCAUCUUCAUUUUGGCCAAUUCAAAUGUCUUUGAUUUGUGUACGUGUUAUGACGGUUUGAUCUAUCAACUAUUCCAAGUAGAUAUUAUAUCAUUCUAUUUACUUGAGGUAGUCAAUUGAAUUACAUUAUUCGAUGUGACAUGUAUUAAUUAAUGGUAACUCUAGGCAUUAAUCAUGUAUAAUGUCAGUAUGGCACGAUUACCACAAAUUUAGUUACGGAAAAUAUUUUCAUAUAACUAACAGAGAAUGUAACAGAAUGACAUAAGUUCUCCCAUUUCAAAACUUUGAACUAGUAAUUGGUACUUUUUAUUU